RNAcentral lists this ribosomal RNA (301 nucleotides) under uncultured bacterium. RNAcentral describes it as "partial 16S ribosomal RNA". It matches the Rfam family "Bacterial small subunit ribosomal RNA", at positions 509 to 809 of the family's 1533-position model. The record is from RNAcentral.
CAGCAGCCACGGGAAUACAGAGGGUGCAAGCGUUAAUCGGAAUUACUGGGCGUAAAGCGCGCGUAGGUGGUUCGCCAAGUUGGAUGUGAAAUCCCCGGGCUCAACCUGGGAACUGCAUCCAAAACUGGCGAGCUAGAGUAUGGUAGAGGGUGGUGGAAUUUCCUGUGUAGCGGUGAAAUGCGUAGAUAUAGGAAGGAACAUCAGUGGCGAAGGCGACCACCUGGACUGAUACUGACACUGAGGUGCGAGAGCGUGGGGAGCAAACAGGAUUAGAUACCCGCGUAGUCCCUGUCUCUUAUAA